Molecule: transfer RNA, 69 nt
Filed under: Urocitellus parryii (Arctic ground squirrel)
Lineage: Eukaryota; Metazoa; Chordata; Mammalia; Rodentia; Sciuridae
Also listed under: 2 other names
Description: Spermophilus parryii (Arctic ground squirrel) tRNA
Rfam family: tRNA
About the family: Transfer RNA (tRNA) molecules are approximately 80 nucleotides in length.
Source: Rfam by way of RNAcentral
GGAGUUGUGGCUCAUCGGUAGAGCACUCGCCUAGAAAAUGUGAGGCCCUGGGUUUGAUCCUCAGCACCA